Molecule: long non-coding RNA, 251 nt
Filed under: Lathyrus oleraceus (garden pea)
Lineage: Eukaryota; Viridiplantae; Streptophyta; Magnoliopsida; Fabales; Fabaceae
Description: Pisum sativum (pea) long non-coding RNA (PSAT_LNC028352)
Source: RNAcentral
CAAACGAUUAUAUAAAUAGGGCAUGGAACAUCUGGUUUUAUACACAAGAAAUACAGAGCGAAAUAUUGAGAGAAAAUAAGGGUUUGUGUCUUGUGUGGUCGUGUGACUUGUAAGCCAUUCAAUUCAUCCAUAGAUGAAAUACAGAGCGAAAUAUUGAGAGAAAAUAAGGGUUUGUGUCUUGUGUGGUCGUGUGACUUGUAAGCCAUUCAAUUCAUCCAUAGAUGAUUGAAUUGGUCUGAUUUGUGAGUUGU